ACUGAACCGAAAAAUGAACGUUCAUGUCUAAACAUAUUGGUGAACAAACAAACGGGUUAAUAAAUUGUCAAAAAAUUAGGAUUGUCCAAUUUCCCGAUUGAAUCACCCAAUAUUUUUAAAAUAUAAAAUAUUUACUUUUUUCCUGUUUUUUUCUUAAAAAAAUCCAAAAAUGUGAUUUUUAAUCAAAUUAUUCAAAAUUAUCCGAAAAGAAUUAAUCGAAAUUAGAACCGAAUUGAACUCAAAAUUUUAUCGGGUUCCUAACAUUGUUAUCCAUAUCAAACUAAAAAUAAUAAUAAUCAAACCGAAACCAAACCCAAACUCAUGAAUAAUUGAACGGUUCAUAUAUUUCUUGAACCAAAAAAUCAAAAACCACA
Molecule: long non-coding RNA, 374 nt
Filed under: Brassica napus (rape)
Lineage: Eukaryota; Viridiplantae; Streptophyta; Magnoliopsida; Brassicales; Brassicaceae
Description: long non-coding RNA (BNAP_LNC026948)
Source: RNAcentral